CAUAUUUUACAGCGGAUUCGUUCUUCUUAUAACAGAUGGACUGUACGAAGUGUUCUUAUCGGGUCAAAUGUUGUCCUACAUGUGGAACAAUUUUCGAAACCGGAAAUGAGAUUGCAGAAAAAAUACAUCCAUCAACAGCUGCCAAAGAUGACUGGACAAAGAUAAAAUCACAUGGUGAAUGCUCGUCAUUCAGUGAUAACAAUACCCAACAAAAUUCGAAUGAAUACAGAAUGGUAGUUUUGGGUUUACCAUCCUCUGGCGUGAGCGCAACUGCUAACACUAUAGUAGGAGAAAAAAUGUUUCCGGACGGCGUUACUCUUGGUGUUACUACGAAGGAAUGUCAGAUGGAAAGUUGUACACGUUUUGGUCAUGUAUUAAAGGUAGUGGAUACACCUGGAUUUGUAUGCGACAAAAAAAUGAGGACUGCAGAAGAACUAUUCCCAGGACUUAAAAAAAGUAUUAUGCUCAUGCCUCCAGGACCACACAUUGUCCUGGUUGUACUGCCGUUGGAUAGAAUAAACGAAGAUUUACAUCAUAUGAUUCAUUGUCUUAAGUGCUUUGAGAAUUUGUCUAGGCAUGUCAUUGUCAUAUUGACAAAAAUUGAUGAGACUGGACAAGAUAGGGCGGGAUUGAAAAAUAAAAUCUAUGAAAGUGAAAAUUUGAGUGAAUUGCUGGAGUUUUGUGGAAAACGUGUUUUAUUAUUUGAUAAUACAAGCAAUAGCGAACAACAAGCCAAAGAACUGUUAGAUGUAGUGAUUGCAGUUGUUGAAGGAAAUAUGUCAGAAUGCAUUAAAACUGAUUUUUUUUCGCAUAAAACUAACAAAAAUCUUGAGCUAGUUCUCCAAGACUACGAGAAAAGUAAGAAAUCAAUUUCAGAACGCUUCUUAGGCAGUUUUGGAUUUGGAAAAUAAGACUUUGAACUGCUUCAAUUUAGAUUUAUUCCUUUUCUGCUUUUAUUAUUUAAUUAAAAACUAUCAAUCGAACUAUUAUACUAUUUUAAUAUUUAGUCAAUAUAUGUCAUUAUUAUAUACAUGACUUUAUGCAUAUCAACUCGAAACUUAGUCGUUCCAGACUGCAUCAUUUAAAUAUACACAGUAGUAUAAUGUUCAUGGGAAGUUUUCAAAAGCAAAUGCACGGUAUACGAUCGCGUUUUCAUGACAAUAAGUCUGUCGCAUGUGCCACAUGGCGAAAUAAUUUAGUUAAUGCGACAACUAGGUAUAUUAAAAAUUCUCCUAUAUAUAAAAUCGUUUCCCUCCCAUUUGUGCCCAGACUGGAAAAAGGCGGAAUUUUCUUGCAUCAUGGGACACAAAUUAGCAGACGGAUGAUAACCCAUAUCCUUUGUCAUUGUUUCCUUGAAUUCUAGACAAAAUACUCAGGUUUGAAUCUUUUGACACACACAAUUUUUGAAGUAAUAUGGUAUAAGCCAACUGGAAUCCCUUAAUUGAGGCAUGCUAAAUAUUGAUACAAUCAUUUCUUUGUGAAUAAAUGGAGAUUUGGGGAUAGCCAAUGAGACAUCAACCAAA
Molecule: long non-coding RNA, 1523 nt
Organism: Mytilus californianus (California mussel)
Lineage: Eukaryota; Metazoa; Mollusca; Bivalvia; Mytilida; Mytilidae
Exons: 4
Source: RefSeq, a predicted model, not a curated record